AUGCAAUGGAGGUGGGGGACGACAUACCCAGCGGAUGUGGCCACAGACGAUGUUGUGCUCUUCUCAUACCAGAUGCAAUCGAGAGAGUGGACGAGCGUCGGGCGGAGAUGCCCGCGGACGAUGCGGUGCUCUUCUCGUACCAGAUACAAUGGAGGACGGCGGCGUGGAGCUCGCGAGGACGCCGCCGCUGUGCCACGAAAGAUGGCGACACAGAGCUCGCCAGCACGACGCCUGUCAUCUUCGUCAUCAAACAGGCGCCAUGGAGAAUGGAGGUGUGGAGCUCCAAGGAUGCCGUCGCCGUGUCGCAGAGGAUGGAGAUACGGAGCCCGCCUAGACAACGCCCAUCAUCAACAUCAUCAAGCCGGUGCCACCGUGGACGGAGGCAUGGAGCUCGCGGGACGACACCACUGGUGUCUCUAUCUCAUCAAGACGGAGCCCAUAACCCGGAGCCCAUGA
RNAcentral lists this ribosomal RNA (456 nucleotides) under Triticum aestivum (bread wheat). RNAcentral describes it as "partial small subunit ribosomal RNA". Lineage: Eukaryota; Viridiplantae; Streptophyta; Magnoliopsida; Poales; Poaceae. The record is from RNAcentral.